RNAcentral lists this ribosomal RNA (111 nucleotides) under Procavia capensis (Cape rock hyrax). The record is from RNAcentral. Lineage: Eukaryota; Metazoa; Chordata; Mammalia; Hyracoidea; Procaviidae.
GUUUACAGCUACACUACUCUGAACAUGGCCUGUCUUAUCUGAUCUAAAUAGGAAUGGGUCGGGUUAGUAGCUGAAUGGAAGACUACGUGAGAAUAUUAGGUGCUGUAGGCU